Molecule: non-coding RNA, 56 nt
Organism: Triticum aestivum (bread wheat)
Lineage: Eukaryota; Viridiplantae; Streptophyta; Magnoliopsida; Poales; Poaceae
Source: Rfam
GCUCAGUUGGUAAAGCACAAGGCUCUUAACCUUGUGGACGUGGAUUCAAGCCCCAU